RNAcentral lists this ribosomal RNA (430 nucleotides) under uncultured bacterium. Its description in RNAcentral is "bacterial SSU rRNA". It matches the Rfam family "Bacterial small subunit ribosomal RNA", at positions 355 to 776 of the family's 1533-position model. The record is from RNAcentral.
UGGGGAAUCUUCCGCAAUGGACGAAAGUCUGACGGAGCAACGCCGCGUGAGUGAAGAAGGUCUUCGGAUCGUAAAGCUCUGUCUUAGGGGACGAAAGAGUCCAGGUCAAAUACACCUGGGCCGUGACGGUACCUUAGGAGGAAGCCCCGGCUAACUACGUGCCAGCAGCCGCGGUAAUACGUAGGGGGCGAGCGUUGUCCGGAAUUACUGGGCGUAAAGAGCGCGUAGGCGGCCUGCUAAGUCAGGUGUGAAAACUUAAGGCUCAACCUUAAGAUGGCAUUUGAAACUGACAGGCUUGAGGGCAGGAGAGGAGAGCGGAAUUCCUAGUGUAGCAGUGAAAUGCGUAGAUAUUAGGAGGAACACCAGUGGCGAAGGCGGCUCUCUGGACUGAACCUGACGCUGAGGUGCGAAAGCCAGGGGAGCAAACGGG